UACGUAGGGACCGAGCGUUGUCCGGAAUCAUUGGGCGUAAAGAGCGUGUAGGCGGCCACUUAAGUCCUGCGUGAAAUCUUGCGGCUCAACCGCAAGCGGUCGUGGGAAACUGGGUGGCUAGAGUGCGGGAGAGGAGAGUGGAAUUCCUGGUGUAGCGGUGGAAUGCGCAGAUAUCAGGAAGAACACCCCGUGGCGAAGGCGGCUCUCUGGAACGCAACUGACGCUGAGACGCGAAAGCGUGGGGAGCAAACAGG
Molecule: ribosomal RNA, 254 nt
Filed under: uncultured bacterium
Lineage: Bacteria
Description: partial 16S ribosomal RNA
Rfam family: Bacterial small subunit ribosomal RNA
Source: RNAcentral